UACGUAGGGGGCAAGCGUUGUCCGGAUUUAUUGGGCGUAAAGAGCGUGUAGGCGGCUAGGUAGGUCCGUUGUGAAAACUCGAGGCUCAACCUCGAGACGCCGGUGGAAACCAUCUAGCUAGAGUCCGGAAGAGGAGAGUGGAAUUCCUGGUGUAGCGGUGAAAUGCGCAGAUAUCAGGAAGAACACCCGUGGCGAAGGCGGCUCUCUGGGACGUGACUGACGCUGAGACGCGAAAGCGUGGGGGGCGAACAGG
Molecule: ribosomal RNA, 253 nt
Filed under: uncultured bacterium
Lineage: Bacteria
Description: partial 16S ribosomal RNA
Rfam family: Bacterial small subunit ribosomal RNA
Source: RNAcentral